RNAcentral lists this ribosomal RNA (163 nucleotides) under Astraea praetervisa. Its description in RNAcentral is "5.8S ribosomal RNA". It matches the Rfam family "5.8S ribosomal RNA". From Rfam's summary of the family: 5.8S ribosomal RNA (5.8S rRNA) is a component of the large subunit of the eukaryotic ribosome. It is transcribed by RNA polymerase I as part of the 45S precursor that also contains 18S and 28S rRNA. Functionally, it is thought that 5.8S rRNA may be involved in ribosome translocation. Lineage: Eukaryota; Viridiplantae; Streptophyta; Magnoliopsida; Malpighiales; Euphorbiaceae. The record is from RNAcentral. RNAcentral also lists the same sequence under 1 other name.
AAACGACUCUCGGCAACGGAUAUCUCGGCUCUCGCAUCGAUGAAGAACGCAGCGAAAUGCGAUACUUGGUGUGAAUUGCAGAAUCCCGCGAACCAUCGAGUCUUUGAACGCAAGUUGCGCCCAAAGCCAUUCGGCCGAGGGCACGUCUGCCUGGGUGUCACGC